UACGUAGGGUGCAAGCGUUAAUCGGAAUUACUGGGCGUAAAGCGUGCGCAGGCGGUUUUGUAAGUUUGUCGUGAAAGCCCCGGGCUCAACCUGGGAAUGGCGAUGAAGACUGCAAGGCUUGAAUCUGGCAGAGGGGGGUAGAAUUCCACGUGUAGCAGUGAAAUGCGUAGAGAUGUGGAGGAACACCGAUGGCGAAGGCAGCCCCCUGGGUCAAGAUUGACGCUCAUACACGAAAGCGUGGGGAGCAAACAGG
Molecule: ribosomal RNA, 253 nt
Filed under: uncultured bacterium
Lineage: Bacteria
Description: partial 16S ribosomal RNA
Rfam family: Bacterial small subunit ribosomal RNA
Source: RNAcentral